GCACCCGUAGCUCAGCUGGAUAGAGCACCAGACUACGAAUCUGGGGGUCAGGAGUUCGAAUCUCUUCGGGUGCACCA
RNAcentral lists this transfer RNA (77 nucleotides) under Hyphomonas sp. RNAcentral describes it as "tRNA-Arg". It matches the Rfam family "tRNA". Rfam says of the family: Transfer RNA (tRNA) molecules are approximately 80 nucleotides in length. Their secondary structure includes four short double-helical elements and three loops (D, anti-codon, and T loops). Further hydrogen bonds mediate the characteristic L-shaped molecular structure. tRNAs have two regions of fundamental functional importance: the anti-codon, which is responsible for specific mRNA codon recognition, and the 3' end, to which the tRNAs corresponding amino acid is attached (by aminoacyl-tRNA synthetases). tRNAs cope with the degeneracy of the genetic code in two manners: having more than one tRNA (with a specific anti-codon) for a particular amino acid; and 'wobble' base-pairing, i.e. permitting non-standard base-pairing at the 3rd anti-codon position. Lineage: Bacteria; Pseudomonadati; Pseudomonadota; Alphaproteobacteria; Hyphomonadales; Hyphomonadaceae. RNAcentral also lists the same sequence under 15 other names. The record is from RNAcentral.